ACGAACCUCUGGAGAGACUCAAUGUGAGCACCGAAGGGGCAAGUCUAUCCUACAAGGAUAGAUGAAACUCUCAGGUACAAAGGACAGAGAUGA
Molecule: non-coding RNA, 93 nt
Filed under: uncultured Cetobacterium sp.
Lineage: Bacteria; Fusobacteriati; Fusobacteriota; Fusobacteriia; Fusobacteriales; Fusobacteriaceae
Description: Glycine riboswitch
Rfam family: Glycine riboswitch aptamer (bases 7-89)
About the family: This family represents the bacterial glycine riboswitch. Glycine riboswitches usually consist of two metabolite-binding aptamers domains with similar structures in tandem.
Source: RNAcentral